This 449-nucleotide ribosomal RNA is filed under the name uncultured bacterium. RNAcentral describes it as "partial 16S ribosomal RNA". It matches the Rfam family "Bacterial small subunit ribosomal RNA", at positions 29 to 523 of the family's 1533-position model. The record is from RNAcentral.
AACGAACGCUGGCGGCAGGCCUAAAACAUGCAAGUCGAACGAUCUAGCAAUAGAUAGUGGCGCACGGGUGAGUAACACGUGGGAAUAUCCCUUUCACUACGGAACAACGUCGGGAAACUGACGCUAAUACCGUAUAAUGUCUCCGGACCAAAGAUUUAUCGGUGAAAGAUUAGCCCGCGUCUGAUUAGCUAGUUGGUGAGGUAACGGCUCACCAAGGCAACGAUCAGUAGCUGGUCUGAGAGGAUGAUCAGCCACACUGGAACUGAGACACGGUCCAGACUCCUACGGGAGGCAGCAGUUAGGAAUAUUGGACAAUGGGGGCAACCCUGAUCCAGCCAUGCCGCGUGUGUGACGAAGGCCUUAGGGUUGUAAAGCACUUUCGUCUACGAAGAUAAUGACAGUAGUAGAAGAAGAAGCUCCGGCUAAAUUCGUGCCAGCCGCCGCUGUAA